CUUGCAGGGUACUCGAGUGGCGAACGGGUGAGUAACACGUGGGUGAUCUGCCCUGCACUUUGGGAUAAGCCUGGGAAACUGGGUCUAAUACCGGAUAGGAGCCAUUUUUAGUGUGAUGGUUGGAAAGUUUUUCGGUGUAGGAUGAGCCCGCGGCCUAUCAGCUUGUUGGUGGGGUAAUGGCCUACCAAGGCGGCGACGGGUAGCCGGACUGAGAGGUUGGUCGGCCACAUUGGGACUGAGAUACGGCCCAG
RNAcentral lists this ribosomal RNA (251 nucleotides) under uncultured Actinomycetales bacterium. RNAcentral's name for it is "partial 16S ribosomal RNA". It matches the Rfam family "Bacterial small subunit ribosomal RNA", at positions 79 to 334 of the family's 1533-position model. The record is from RNAcentral. Lineage: Bacteria; Bacillati; Actinomycetota; Actinomycetes; Actinomycetales.